ACAGCAGCAGCCGCGGUAAUACGUAGGGCGCGAGCGUUGUCCGGAAUCAUUGGGCGUAAAGCGCGUGUAGGCGGCUGAGUAAGUCUGCUGUGAAAGUCCAGGGCUCAACCCUGGAAUGUCGGCGGAUACUGCUCAGCUGGAGUACGGGAGGGGCGAGUGGAAUUCCUGGUGUAGCGGUGGAAUGCGCAGAUAUCAGGAGGAACACCUAUGGCGAAGGCAGCUCGCUGGAACGUUACUGACGCUGAUGCACGAAAGCGUGGGGAUCAAACAGGAUUAGAUACCCGAGUAGUCCCUGUCUCUUAUAU
RNAcentral lists this ribosomal RNA (305 nucleotides) under uncultured bacterium. RNAcentral describes it as "partial 16S ribosomal RNA". It matches the Rfam family "Bacterial small subunit ribosomal RNA", at positions 505 to 809 of the family's 1533-position model. The record is from RNAcentral.